AGUGAACGCUGGCGGUAGGCCUAACACAUGCAAGUCGAACGGCAGCACAGUAAGAGCUUGCUCUUACGGGUGGCGAGUGGCGGACGGGUGAGGAAUACAUCGGAAUCUACUUUUUCGUGGGGGAUAACGUAGGGAAACUUACGCUAAUGCCGCAUACGACCUACGGGUGAAAGCAGGGGAUCUUCGGACCUUGCGCGAUUGAAUGAGCCGAUGUCGGAUUGGCUAGUUGGCGGGGUAAAGGCCCACCAAGGCGACGAUCCGUAGCUGGUCUGAGAGGAUGAUCAGCCACACUGGAACUGAGACACGGUCCAGACUCCUACGGGAGGCAGCAGUGGGGAAUAUUGGACAAUGGGCGCAAGCCUGAUCCAGCCAUACCGCGUGGGUGAAGAAGGUCUUCGGGUUGUAAAGCCCUUUUGUUGGGAAAGAAAAGCAGCAGGUUAAUACCCCGCUGUUCUGACGGUACCCAAAGAAUAAGCACCGGCUAACUUCGUG
RNAcentral lists this ribosomal RNA (492 nucleotides) under uncultured bacterium. Its description in RNAcentral is "partial 16S ribosomal RNA". It matches the Rfam family "Bacterial small subunit ribosomal RNA", at positions 29 to 507 of the family's 1533-position model. The record is from RNAcentral.